AACGAACGCUGGCGGCAUGCCUAACACAUGCAAGUCGAACGAGGUAUGUGUUUUCCGAUAUAUAUCUAGUGGCGCACGGGUGCGUAACGCUUGGGUAUCGGGCCUUUGGUUCGGAGUAACACAGAGAAAUUUGUGCUAAUACCGUAUGAUGACGAAAUUCCAAAGAUUUAUCGCCGAAGGAUGAGCCCGCGUAGGAUUAGCUAGUUGGUGGGGUAAAGGCCUAGCAAGGCGACGAUCCUUAGCUGGUCUGAGAGGAGGAUCAGCGACACCGGGACUGAGACACGGCCCAGACUCCUACGGGAGGCAGCAGUGGGGAAUAUUGGACAAUGGGCGCAAGCCUGAUCCAGCAAUGCCGCGUGAGUGAAGAAGGCCUUAGGGUUGUAAAGCUCUUUCGUCUGUGAAGAUAAUGACAGUAGCAGAAGAAGAAGCCCCGGCUAAACUCGUGCCAGCCGCCGCGGUAA
Molecule: ribosomal RNA, 461 nt
Filed under: uncultured bacterium
Lineage: Bacteria
Description: partial 16S ribosomal RNA
Rfam family: Bacterial small subunit ribosomal RNA
Source: RNAcentral